RNAcentral lists this long non-coding RNA (222 nucleotides) under Drosophila guanche. The record is from RNAcentral. Lineage: Eukaryota; Metazoa; Arthropoda; Insecta; Diptera; Drosophilidae.
UAGAUAUUGGACCUACUGUAUCGGAUCGUGCGGGUAGGCUAUCUGAACGCGUCCGCUGCUUUCGUAAAGCCGAGUUUACGAAGCUCAAUAACUUAAUUCUAAAUUUUGAUUGGUCCGCUCUGUACUUGUGCAGUGACGUCAUUGAAGGCACAAACAUUUUUUACAAUGUACUUGACACAAUUUUUGACACGUGUGUCCCACUUUCAUGUCCGACUAGAUCUG